Molecule: ribosomal RNA, 254 nt
Filed under: uncultured bacterium
Lineage: Bacteria
Description: partial 16S ribosomal RNA
Rfam family: Bacterial small subunit ribosomal RNA
Source: RNAcentral
UACGUAGGGUGCAAGCGUUAAUCGGAAUUACUGGGCGUAAAGAGUUGCGUAGGUGGCAUGGUAAGUUGAUAGUGAAAUCCUGGGGCUCAACCCCUUACCCAUUAUCAAAACUGCCAAGCUAGAGGACAAGAGAGGUCACUGGAAUUCCUAGUGUAGGAGUGAAAUCCGUAGAUAUUAGGAGGAACACCGAUGGCGUAGGCAGGUGACUGGCUUGUUCCUGACACUAAGGCACGAAAGCGUGGGGAGCGAACGGG